This 305-nucleotide unclassified non-coding RNA is filed under the name soil metagenome. RNAcentral's name for it is "partial contains internal transcribed spacer 2 and large subunit ribosomal RNA". The stretch from base 249 to 305 matches the Rfam family "Eukaryotic large subunit ribosomal RNA", at positions 1 to 57 of the family's 3401-position model. The record is from RNAcentral.
GAUGAAGAACGUAGCGAAAUGCGAUACUUGGUGUGAAUUGCAUAAUCCCGUGAACCAUCGAGUUGCUGCUUGGGGUGAAUGUUGGCCUCCCGUGAGCUUUGUCUCACGGUUGGUUGAAAAUCGAGUGCAUGGUGUCGGGUGUACCAUGAUGGAUGGUGGUUGAGUGAUGAUGCUCGAGACCAAUCAUGGGUAACUCCACCAGAAUUGGGCUCGGUGACCCACAUGCGUCCCUUGGAUGCUCCCUAAGGAGACCUCAGGUCAGGCGGGGCUACCCGCUGAGUUUAAGCAUAUCAAUAAGCGGAGGA